This 253-nucleotide ribosomal RNA is filed under the name uncultured bacterium. RNAcentral describes it as "partial 16S ribosomal RNA". It matches the Rfam family "Bacterial small subunit ribosomal RNA", at positions 524 to 776 of the family's 1533-position model. The record is from RNAcentral.
GACAGAGGGUGCAAACGUUGUUCGGAAUUACUGGGCGUAAAGCGCGUGUAGGCGGCUUUGCAAGUCGGAUGUGAAAUCCCACGGCUCAACCGUGGAAGUGCAUUCGAAACUGCAAGGCUAGAGUCCUGGAGAGGAAGGUGGAAUGCUUGGUGUAGAGGUGAAAUGUAUAGAUAUCGUACGGAACACCCGUGGCGAAGGCGCCUUGCUGGGGUACAACUGACGCUGAAACACGAAAGCCAGGGGAGCAAACGGG